RNAcentral lists this ribosomal RNA (496 nucleotides) under uncultured bacterium. RNAcentral describes it as "bacterial SSU rRNA". It matches the Rfam family "Bacterial small subunit ribosomal RNA", at positions 28 to 524 of the family's 1533-position model. The record is from RNAcentral.
GACGAACGCUGGCGGCGUGCUUAACACAUGCAAGUCGAGCGGUAAGGCCCUUUCGGGGGUACACGAGCGGCGAACGGGUGAGUAACACGUGGGUGACCUGCCCUCAGCUCUGGGAUAAGCCUGGGAAACCGGGUCUAAUACUGGAUAUGACUCCAUGACGCAUGUUGUGGGGUGGAAAGCCUUGUGCGGCUGAGGAUGGGCCCGCGGCCUAUCAGCUUGUUGGUGGGGUGAUGGCCUACCAAGGCGACGACGGGUAGCCGGCCUGAGAGGGCGACCGGCCACACUGGGACUGAGACACGGCCCAGACUCCUACGGGAGGCAGCAGUGGGGAAUCUUGCUCAAUGGGAGAAAUCCUGAAGCAGCAACGCCGCGUGAGGGAUGAAGGGCUUUUGCUUGUAAACCUCUGUAGUGAGAGAAAAAACUCCAAUCUUUGGAGCAUGAUGGUAUCUCAAAAGUAAGCCCCGGCUAACUACGUGCCAGCAGCCGCCGCCGUAAU